CCAGACUCCUACGGGAGGCAGCAGUGAGGAAUAUUGGUCAAUGGGCGGGAGCCUGAACCAGCCAUGCCGCGUGAAGGCGAGUGCCCUACGGGCGUUAAACUUCUUUUGUGCGGGAGCAAUAAGGGCCACGUGUGGCCCGAUGAGAGUACCACACGAAUAAGCAUCGGCUAACUCCGUGCCAGCAGCCGCGGUAAUACGGGGGAUGCGAGCGUUAUCCGGAUUUAUUGGGUGUAAAGGGAGCGCAGACGGCAGGGCAAGUCUGAUGUGAAAGUCCGGGGCUCAACCCCGGGACUGCAUUGGAAACUGUCCGGCUAGAGUGCAGGAGAGGUAAGUGGAAUUCCUAGUGUAGCGGUGAAAUGCGUAGAUAUUAGGAGGAACACCAGUGGCGAAGGCGGCUUACUGGACUGUAACUGACGUUGAGGCUCGAAAGCGUGGGGAGCAAACAGGAUUAGAUACCCCUGUA
RNAcentral lists this ribosomal RNA (463 nucleotides) under uncultured bacterium. RNAcentral's name for it is "bacterial SSU rRNA". It matches the Rfam family "Bacterial small subunit ribosomal RNA", at positions 331 to 792 of the family's 1533-position model. The record is from RNAcentral.